RNAcentral lists this ribosomal RNA (327 nucleotides) under uncultured eukaryote. RNAcentral describes it as "partial 18S ribosomal RNA". It matches the Rfam family "Eukaryotic small subunit ribosomal RNA", at positions 1470 to 1796 of the family's 1831-position model. The record is from RNAcentral.
CCCUUAGAUGUUCUGGGCCGCACGCGCGCUACACUGACGAAUGCAACGAGCUUAUAACCUUGGCCGAAAGGUCUGGGUAAUCUCCAAAUUUCGUCGUGAUGGGGAUAGAUUAUUGCAAUUAUUAAUCUUCAACGAGGAAUGCCCAGUAAGCGCAAGUCAUCAGCUUGCGUUGAUUACGUCCCUGCCCUUUGUACACACCGCCCGUCGCUCCUACCGAUUGAAUGGUCCGGUGAAGCGCUCGGACCGCGGCCUCUUGACGGUUUUCCGUCGAUUGGCUGUGGGAAGUUCGUUAAACCUUAUCAUUUAGAGGAAGGAGAAGUCGUAACA